This 428-nucleotide ribosomal RNA is filed under the name uncultured prokaryote. RNAcentral's name for it is "partial 16S ribosomal RNA". The record is from RNAcentral.
CCCUAUGGGGUGCAAAGGCGUUACGGUGUAUGUCACCGGUUCCCGCGAAAAAGUCGUCCUGGAGACCAAGGCCACCAUGGACGCCAAGGCCAGGCCUGCUGCCUCCACCAAGGAAGACUUCAGUGUACCUGGCGAAACAGCCGUGGGUCAGCUUACUUUCUGGAAAGACUCCAAAAAGCCGCGCCCACGCAUUCUCCAUGGUUACACCUACUCCAUUGCGACCCCGUUGGGUAAGGCCUUCAUCACCAUCAACGAAAACGGUGGCAGUCAACCUGUUGAAGUAUUCAUCAACACCGCCAAGGCCGGCUCUGAAACGGCCUCCCAUUCCGAGGCUAUCGGCCGUCUUAUCUCCUACUUGUUGCGCAUCAGUUCCCCGAUUGAACCGCGCGAACGCCUCAAAAACGUGAUGGAGCAAUGGGCGGGAGGGC